AGAGUUUGAUCCUGGCUCAGGACGAACGCUGGCGGCGCGCCUAACACAUGCAAGUCGAACGAGCGAGAGAGAGCUUGCUUUCUCGAGCGAGUGGCGAACGGGUGAGUAACGCGUGAGGAACCUGCCUCAAAGAGGGGGACAACAGUUGGAAACGACUGCUAAUACCGCAUAAGCCCACGGCUCGGCAUCGAGCAGAGGGAAAAGGAGCAAUCCGCUUUGAGAUGGCCUCGCGUCCGAUUAGCUAGUUGGUGAGGUAACGGCCCACCAAGGCGACGAUCGGUAGCCGGACUGAGAGGUUGAACGGCCACAUUGGGACUGAGACACGGCCCAGACUCCUACGGGAGGCAGCAGUGGGGAAUAUUGCACAAUGGGGGAAACCCUGAUGCAGCGACGCCGCGUGGAGGAAGAAGGUCUUCGGAUUGUAAACUCCUGUUGUUGAGGAAGAUAAUGACGGUACUCACCAAGGAAGUGACGGCUAACUACGUGCCAGCAGCCGCGGUAAAACGUAGGUCACAAGCGUUGUCCGGAAUUACUGGGUGUAAAGGGAGCGCAGGCGGGAAGACAAGUUGGAAGUGAAAUCUAUGGGCUCAACCCAUAAACUGCUUUCAAAACUGUUUUUCUUGAGUAGUGCAGAGGUAGGCGGAAUUCCCGGUGUAGCGGUGGAAUGCGUAGAUAUCGGGAGGAACACCAGUGGCGAAGGCGGCCUACUGGGCACCAACUGACGCUGAGGCUCGAAAGUGUGGGUAGCAAACAGGAUUAGAUACCCUGGUAGUCCACACCGUAAACGAUGAUUACUAGGUGUUGGAGGAUUGACCCCUUCAGUGCCGCAGUUAACACAAUAAGUAAUCCACCUGGGGAGUACGACCGCAAGGUUGAAACUCAAAGGAAUUGACGGGGGCCCGCACAAGCAGUGGAGUAUGUGGUUUAAUUCGACGCAACGCGAAGAACCUUACCAAGUCUUGACAUCCUCUGACGAACGUAGAAAUACGUUUUCUCUUCGGAGCAGAGAGACAGGUGGUGCAUGGUUGUCGUCAGCUCGUGUCGUGAGAUGUUGGGUUAAGUCCCGCAACGAGCGCAACCCUUAUGGUCAGUUACUACGCAAGAGGACUCUGGCCAGACUGCCGUUGACAAAACGGAGGAAGGUGGGGAUGACGUCAAAUCAUCAUGCCCUUUAUGACUUGGGCUACACACGUACUACAAUGGCGUUAAACAAAGAGAAGCAAGACCGCGAGGUGGAGCAAAACUCAGAAACAACGUCCCAGUUCGGACUGCAGGCUGCAACUCGCCUGCACGAAGUCGGAAUUGCUAGUAAUCGCAGAUCAGCAUGCUGCGGUGAAUACGUUCNCCGGGCCUUGUACACACCGCCCGUC
Molecule: ribosomal RNA, 1370 nt
Filed under: uncultured bacterium
Lineage: Bacteria
Description: bacterial SSU rRNA
Rfam family: Bacterial small subunit ribosomal RNA
Source: RNAcentral